CGAGCGAACAGACGAGGAGCUUGCUCCUCUGACGUUAGCGGCGGACGGGUGAGUAACACGUGGAUAACCUACCUAUAAGACUGGGAUAACUUCGGGAAACCGGAGCUAAUACCGGAUAAUAUAUUGAACCGCAUGGUUCAAUAGUGAAAGACGGUUUUGCUGUCACUUAUAGAUGGAUCCGCGCCGCAUUAGCUAGUUGGUAAGGUAACGGCUUACCAAGGCAACGAUGCGUAGCCGACCUGAGAGGGUGAUCGGCCACACUGGAACUGAGACACGGUCCAGACUCCUACGGGAGGCAGCAGUAGGGAAUCUUCCGCAAUGGGCGAAAGCCUGACGGAGCAACGCCGCGUGAGUGAUGAAGGUCUUCGGAUCGUAAAACUCUGUUAUUAGGGAAGAACAAAUGUGUAAGUAACUAUGCACGUCUUGACGGUACCUAAUCAGAAAGCCACGGCUAACUACGUGCCAGCAGCCGCGGUAAUACGUAGGUGGCAAGCGUUAUCCGGAAUUAUUGGGCGUAAAGCGCGCGUAGGCGGUUUUUUAGUCUGAUGUGAAAGCCCACGGCUCAACC
This 568-nucleotide ribosomal RNA is filed under the name Staphylococcus epidermidis. RNAcentral's name for it is "bacterial SSU rRNA". It matches the Rfam family "Bacterial small subunit ribosomal RNA", at positions 63 to 614 of the family's 1533-position model. Lineage: Bacteria; Bacillati; Bacillota; Bacilli; Caryophanales; Staphylococcaceae. The record is from RNAcentral.